CCUUCUCCCUUUCUACUCUCUCCCUCUCCAGCCGCUCUUGUUCCAAAGCCUUCUCCCUUUCUACUCUCUCCCUCUCCAGCCGCUCUUGCUCCAAAGCCUUCUCCCUUUCUACUCUCUCUCUCUCCAGCCGCUCUUGCUCCAAAGCCUUCUCCCUUUCAACUCUCUCCCUCUCCAGCCGCUCUUGCUCCAAGGCCUUCUCCCUUUCUAUUCUCUCCCUCUCCAGCCGCUCUUGCUCCAAGGCCUUCUCCCUUUCUAUUCUCUCCCUCUCCAGCCGCUCUUGCUCUAAGGCCUUCUCCCUUUCUAUUCUCUCCCUCUCCAGCCGCUCUUGCUCCAAGGCCUUCUCCCUCUCUAUUUUCUCCCUCUCCAGCCGCUCUUG
Molecule: long non-coding RNA, 376 nt
Organism: Thalassophryne amazonica
Lineage: Eukaryota; Metazoa; Chordata; Actinopteri; Batrachoidiformes; Batrachoididae
Exons: 2
Source: RefSeq, a predicted model, not a curated record